Molecule: ribosomal RNA, 119 nt
Filed under: Nicotiana sylvestris (wood tobacco)
Lineage: Eukaryota; Viridiplantae; Streptophyta; Magnoliopsida; Solanales; Solanaceae
Also listed under: 1 other name
Source: RNAcentral
GAAUACGAUCAUACCAGCACUAACGCAUCGGAGCCCAUUAGAACUUCGAAGUUAAGUGUACUUGGGCCAGAGUAAUACUAGGAUAGGUGACCCCCUCGGAAGUCCUCGUGUUGUAUCCC